Oncorhynchus keta (chum salmon) is the source of this 2182-nucleotide long non-coding RNA. RefSeq lists it as uncharacterized. The transcript has 4 exons. Lineage: Eukaryota; Metazoa; Chordata; Actinopteri; Salmoniformes; Salmonidae. The record is from RefSeq and is a predicted model, not a curated record.
ACCUCAACACCUUAACUAGCCUCUAUCUCCAGGUCAGAAUCCUUCCAAAUAUAUAAUAUAUAAAAUAUAUGCCAUUUAGCAGACGCUUUUAUCCAAAGCGACUUACAGUCAUGUGUGCAUACAUUCUACGUAUGGGUGGUCCCGGGAAUCGAACCCACUACCCUGGCGUUACAAGCGCCAUGCUCUACCAACUGUGCUACAGAAGGUUCCAAUAGAACUUCAGAAACCAGGCCCCAAUUUCACAAAGUUCAUCAGAUUAGAAGUGGUGGGUACUUAUAUUUGUCCUGUUUCACACAUGUACAAGUGUGUUUUAAUUUGAAAUGUGUUUUUUUGCAUAUGCCAACUCCCUCUGAGACACCCUAGGAGAGUGUGGUCACGGCCAGAAGAGGGAAUAAGAGGGGGGACAGAUCAUCUCCUACUCUGAGACACUUUAUAAAUACAGGCCCUGGUCUCUUCCAGGUUCCAGUAAUAAUACAGGCUUGUCUUCAGGUUCAUGAAUAAUACAGGCUUGUGUUGUCUUCAGGUUCAUUAAUAAUACAGGCUUGUCUUCAGGUUCAUUAAUAAUACAGGCUUUUGUUGUCUUCAGGUUCAUUAAUAAUACAGGCUUGUCUUCAGGUUCAUUAAUAAUACAGGCUUGUGUUGUCUUCAGGUUCAUUAAUAAUACAGGCUUGUGUUGUCUUCAGGUCCAUUAAUAAUACAGGCUUGUGUUGUCUUCAGGUCCAUUAAUAAUACAGGCUUGUGUUGUCUUCAGGUCCAGUAAUAAUACAGGCUUGUGUUGUCUUCAGGUCCAUUAAUAAUACAGGCUUGUGUUGUCUUCAGGUCCAGUAAUAAUACAGGCUUGUCUUCAGGUCCAUUAAUAAUACAGGCUUGUGUUGUCUUCAGGUCCAUUAAUAAUACAGGCUUGUGUUGUCUUCAGGUCCAGUAAUAAUACAGGCUUGUCUUCAGGUUCAUUAAUAAUACAGGCUUGUGUUGUCUUCAGGUCCAUUAAUAAUACAGGCUUGUGUUGUCUUCAGGUUCAUUAAUAAUACAGGCUUGUGUUGUCUUCAGGUCCAUUAAUAAUACAGGCUUGUGUUGUCUUCAGGUCCAGUAAUAAUACAGGCUUGUCUUCAGGUUCAUUAAUAAUACAGGCUUGUGUUGUCUGCAGGUUCAUUAAUAAUACAGGCUUGUGUUGUCUUCAGGUCCAGUAAUAAUACAGGCUUGUCUUCAGGUUCAUUAAUAAUACAGGCUUGUGUUGUCUUCAGGUCCAUUAAUAAUACAGGCUUGUGUUGUCUUCAGGUUCAUUAAUAAUACAGGCUUGUGUUGUCUUCAGGUCCAUUAAUAAUACAGGCUUGUGUUGUCUUCAGGUCCAGUAAUAAUACAGGCUUGUCUUCAGGUUCAUUAAUAAUACAGGCUUGUGUUGUCUUCAGGUUCAUUAAUAAUACAGGCUUGUGUUGUCUUCAGGUCCAGUAAUAAUACAGGCUUGUCUUCAGGUUCAUUAAUAAUACAGGCUUGUGUUGUCUUCAGGUCCAUUAAUAAUACAGGCUUGUGUUGUCUUCAGGUCCAGUAAUAAUACAGGCUUGUCUUCAGGUUCAUUAAUAAUACAGGCUUGUGUUGUCUUCAGGUUCAUUAAUAAUACAGGCUUGUGUUGUCUUCAGGUUCAUUAAUAAUACAGGCUUGUGUUGUCUUCAGGUCCUGUAAUAAUACAGGCUUGUGUUGUCUUCAGGUCCUGUAAUAAUACAGGCUUGUGUUGUCUUCAGGUCCAUUAAUAAUACAGGCUUGUGUUGUCUUCAGGUUCAUUAAUAAUACAGGCUUGUCUUCAGGUUCAUUAAUAAUACAGGCUUGUGUUGUCUUCAGGUCCAGUAAUAAUACAGGCUUGUGUUGUCUUCAGGUCCAUUAAUAAUACAGGCUUGUGUUGUCUUCAGGUCCAUUAAUAAUACAGGCUUGUGUUGUCUUCAGGUCCAUUAAUAAUACAGGCUUGUGUUGUCUUCAGGUCCAUUAAUAAUACAGGCUUGUGUUGUCUUCAGGUCCAGUAAUAAUACAGGCUUGUGUUGUCUUCAGGUCCAUUAAUAAUACAGGCUUGUGUUGUCUUCAGGUCCAUUAAUAAUACAGGCUUGUGUUGUCUUCAGGUCCAUUAAUAAUACAGGCUUGUGUUGUCUUCAGGUCCAUUAAUAAUACAGGCUUGUGUUGUCUUCAGGUCCUGUAA